GUUAGGAAUAUUGGACAAUGGGCGCAAGCCUGAUCCAGCCAUGCCGCGUGAGUGAUGAAGGCCUUCGGGUUGUAAAGCUCUUUAGUCCACGAAUAUAAUGACUGUAGUGGAAGAAUAAGCCCCGGCUAACUUCGUGCCAGCAGCCGCGGUAAUACGAAGGGGGCGAGCGUUGUUCGGAAUCACUGGGCGUAAAGCGUGCGGAGGCUGUUUUGUAAGUCAGAAGUGAAAGCACAGGGCUUAACCCUGGAAUUGCUUUUGAAACUACAAGACUCGAAUUCGGGAGAGGAUAGCGGAAUUGUCAGAGUAGCAGUGAAAUGCGUAGAUAUUGACAGGAACACCAGUGGCGCAAGCGGCUAUCUGGACCGAUAUUGACGCUGAGGCACGAAAGCGUGGGGAGCAAACAGGAUUAGAUACCCGAGUAGUCC
This 425-nucleotide ribosomal RNA is filed under the name uncultured bacterium. RNAcentral describes it as "partial 16S ribosomal RNA". It matches the Rfam family "Bacterial small subunit ribosomal RNA", at positions 354 to 796 of the family's 1533-position model. The record is from RNAcentral.